Amborella trichopoda is the source of this 1923-nucleotide non-coding RNA. Lineage: Eukaryota; Viridiplantae; Streptophyta; Magnoliopsida; Amborellales; Amborellaceae. The record is from RefSeq and is a predicted model, not a curated record.
GUGAAAGGCGACGUUGCUGAUUUGCUGGGCGCACAAUCCUGUGGCAAACGAAACCUCCGUUGGCUGUGCUCUGCAGGAUGAGGGGACUCAGCACCAACAACAACCACCCUAUAACACCGACACCUCUUUUGUUUUUCGAAGAUAUGUGACACCAACAGCUCACGCCUUUGCUCUUCUUCACUCUUAUUCGAAAUCACUAUGAUAUUCUCUGACUGAAACUGCAUUUCUUUAUGUACAGAUGAUAUGAGUCCCUCGUCUUUAACCAGCUGCUCAGUCUGCUGGAGCUCUUCUAGCUUGUUGGUAUCAAAUGCUUUUGUGGCCAAUGAAGGCAAGAAGAUGAUAGGCUACCCAAAAGGGGCUUCGAGGCUGAGGCUAGUAAGGGCAAGCAUCUCUAGUGAUUCUCUAAUUGUUCAGGCUGCAAGAGGUGAUCCUAUCAGCUGGCCUCCUGCAUGGAUGAUGCGUCAAGCUGGAAGAUAUAUGACUGUUUACAGAAAGCUUGCAGAGAAAUACCCAUCCUUUAGAGUGCGGUCUGAGACAGUUGAUCUCAUUGUGGAAAUCUCUUUGCAGCCAUGGAAGGCCUUUCGUCCUGAUGCUGUUAUGAUAUUCUCAGAUAUACGAACUCCCUUACCUGCAUUUGGGGUCCCAUUUGACGUAGAGGACGUAAAGGGACCAAUUAUUACUUCCCCAAUACGUUCCGAGGAAAGAUUAAAGGCCCUGCAUCCUAUUGAGUUGGACAAAGUACAUUUUGUAGGGGAAUCUCUAAGAAUUUUGCGAAAUGAGGUAGGAAGUGGAGCAGCAGUCCUGGGUUUUGUGGGUGCACCAUGGACGAUUGCUACAUACAUUGUAGAAGGUUGUACAAUUCAUACAUAUACAACUAUUAAAGGCAUGUGCCACACUGCACCACAUGUAUUGAAGGGUCUCCUCUGUCAUCUUACACAGGCAGUAACUGACUAUAUUGUUUUUCAAAUAUUUGAUUCAUGGGGUGGCCAGCUGACACUUGAUAUGUGGGAGAAGUGGUCCAAACCAUAUAUCACAGAGAUGGUGAGUAAAGUAAAAAAGGCGUGUCCACAAAUACCACUGGUGCUCUAUGUAAAUGGAAAUGGAGGUCUUCUUGAACACAUGAAAGGAACUGGAGUUGAUGUAAUUGGGCUCGAUUGGACUGUGGAUAUGGAAGAUGGUAGGAGGCGCUUAGGAGAUGGGAUUGGCUUGCAAGGAAAUGUCGACCCUGCUUUUCUCUUUUCUCCGCUUCCUGCACUAACUGACGAAAUUCAACGGGUUGUGAGAUGUGCUGGGCACAGGCACAUACUUAACUUUGGACUUGGCGUACUCGUGGGUACUCCCAAAGAGGCUGUUGCUCAAUUCUUUGAUGAUUAACUUUUUGGAGAAGGCUUGGCCCCAGAUCUUGUUUCUGUAUUUUGACUUCAGCUUUAAACAUUUCAUUUCUUCGCGCUUCAUAUCAGUAGAGUUCCCUUUUCUUGUUUGUCAAGUGAGAAUUUUGAUUUAUUGGAGUUGGCUUCUGUGUUCUAGGAGAGGUUAAAUGUGUAUCCCCUUGAGGCUGGGUUUGCAGCCGUGGCCAAUGUCCAAAUGAGCACACCCCUAGAUAAAUUUUGAUGCGGACCAAACCAUUGUUUCGAGACUCGGCCGGGAGUACUCGGCCUUACUCUAGGGGCAAGUUGGCUUGUCUGCUUGGCACGUUAUUGAUGAUGGUGCAACUUAAAGAAUGAAACCCACCACUUAUCUUGAGAAUGCUUCAAAUAGGCCCCAUUGUAGCUUUAAAAAUCCCUUUUCCUCUUAUAAUUAAGAGCAUGGGUAUCAUUCCACUUGAUUAUGACAUUUGAUGAGUGCCAAUUAUCAUGAUUGUGCAAAAGGCAUGAAUAUUGGGACACCCAAACGGGGUCUGAGUUUCAUAAAGUGGUUUGCUUA